CACAGCGGCGUAUGAGGAGAAAAGUCCUCUUGAUCAGGAGAAAUGGCGCUCCCAGCUGUCAGAAGAAGAUAUGAGUAACUCCUUCUUAUCCAAAGAAAGGAGCCAUAAUAAUACUUAUGUUCCUAACUCUGCGAGGCACCACCUCACUGCGUGGCGUAAUGCUAGCUACGGCUCCCACACCCACCCGGCCCCUCGCACUUUAUGAUGUGCCAUAUGUGCAGGUGUAAUGAGCGAGGCAGGUGUGUGAACGCGGGUGAGGGCCAGGUACAGGUGAGAGAGAGAUAGAGUUAGAGGUUCAGUGUCGCGGCAACUGUGGUGGUGAGUGCACGCGCACGGACGCACCUACGCACGGACGCACGGACUUACGGACACAUGUUCGUAUUGAUCAGCCCAGCGAGGAAGGACCCCCUACCAGCCCGGCAUUCGCGGUCGCCACUUGAGCGCUCGAGAGACUAGCGGCCGCUCAGAACACAUACGAGCGAGACAGUGGUUAGGCUUUGGGUAUGUGCGAGACGCCGUGUGUGUUGGUGGCGCGCUUAAGCAGCUGUUUCGCCGUGCUCCCUGUGUUUACGUAGCCGUGCUCAGUUCUUCUGUUUAAAGUGUUUAGCGGGAUGAUGUAAGGUGGGGCUACGAUAUGUCUCGCUAUGUGGCACUACUCCUUCUUGCCUUACAAGCCGUGUAUGACUGCCGCACCCUCGCUUCCGGGAACAUAGGAUGCCUGUUUAGCGACACCCUGUGCGAGAGGGACAGCGAGUGGUGUUUCGACGGUGAGUUUGCUGCCGCCUCCCGCCGGGCGAAGCGGCGCUCGUCUGUUGCUGUUCCGG
Molecule: long non-coding RNA, 824 nt
Organism: Penaeus indicus
Lineage: Eukaryota; Metazoa; Arthropoda; Malacostraca; Decapoda; Penaeidae
Exons: 3
Source: RefSeq, a predicted model, not a curated record